Molecule: ribosomal RNA, 2787 nt
Filed under: human gut metagenome
Description: bacterial LSU rRNA
Rfam family: Bacterial large subunit ribosomal RNA
Source: RNAcentral
AGCGUACACGGUGGAUGCCCUGGCAGUCAGAGGCGAUGAAGGACGUGCUAAUCUGCGAUAAGCGUCGGUAAGGUGAUAUGAACCGUUAUAACCGGCGAUUUCCGAAUGGGGAAACCCAGUGUGUUUCGACACACUAUCAUUAACUGAAUCCAUAGGUUAAUGAGGCGAACCGGGGGAACUGAAACAUCUAAGUACCCCGAGGAAAAGAAAUCAACCGAGAUUCCCCCAGUAGCGGCGAGCGAACGGGGAGCAGCCCAGAGCCUGAAUCAGUGUGUGUGUUAGUGGAAGCGUCUGGAAAGGCGCGCGAUACAGGGUGACAGCCCCGUACACAAAAAUGCACAUGCUGUGAGCUCGAUGAGUAGGGCGGGACACGUGGUAUCCUGUCUGAAUAUGGGGGGACCAUCCUCCAAGGCUAAAUACUCCUGACUGACCGAUAGUGAACCAGUACCGUGAGGGAAAGGCGAAAAGAACCCCGGCGAGGGGAGUGAAAAAGAACCUGAAACCGUGUACGUACAAGCAGUGGGAGCACGCUUAGGCGUGUGACUGCGUACCUUUUGUAUAAUGGGUCAGCGACUUAUAUUCUGUAGCAAGGUUAACCGAAUAGGGGAGCCGAAGGGAAACCGAGUCUUAACUGGGCGUUAAGUUGCAGGGUAUAGACCCGAAACCCGGUGAUCUAGCCAUGGGCAGGUUGAAGGUUGGGUAACACUAACUGGAGGACCGAACCGACUAAUGUUGAAAAAUUAGCGGAUGACUUGUGGCUGGGGGUGAAAGGCCAAUCAAACCGGGAGAUAGCUGGUUCUCCCCGAAAGCUAUUUAGGUAGCGCCUCGUGAAUUCAUCUCCGGGGGUAGAGCACUGUUUCGGCAAGGGGGUCAUCCCGACUUACCAACCCGAUGCAAACUGCGAAUACCGGAGAAUGUUAUCACGGGAGACACACGGCGGGUGCUAACGUCCGUCGUGAAGAGGGAAACAACCCAGACCGCCAGCUAAGGUCCCAAAGUCAUGGUUAAGUGGGAAACGAUGUGGGAAGGCCCAGACAGCCAGGAUGUUGGCUUAGAAGCAGCCAUCAUUUAAAGAAAGCGUAAUAGCUCACUGGUCGAGUCGGCCUGCGCGGAAGAUGUAACGGGGCUAAACCAUGCACCGAAGCUGCGGCAGCGACGCUGAUGCGUUGUUGGGUAGGGGAGCGUUCUGUAAGCCUGCGAAGGUGUGCUGUGAGGCAUGCUGGAGGUAUCAGAAGUGCGAAUGCUGACAUAAGUAACGAUAAAGCGGGUGAAAAGCCCGCUCGCCGGAAGACCAAGGGUUCCUGUCCAACGUUAAUCGGGGCAGGGUGAGUCGACCCCUAAGGCGAGGCCGAAAGGCGUAGUCGAUGGGAAACAGGUUAAUAUUCCUGUACUUGGUGUUACUGCGAAGGGGGGACGGAGAAGGCUAUGUUGGCCGGGCGACGGUUGUCCCGGUUUAAGCGUGUAGGCUGGUUUUCCAGGCAAAUCCGGAAAACUAAGGCUGAGGCGUGAUGACGAGGCACUACGGUGCUGAAGCAACAAAUGCCCUGCUUCCAGGAAAAGCCUCUAAGCAUCAGGUAACAUCAAAUCGUACCCCAAACCGACACAGGUGGUCAGGUAGAGAAUACCAAGGCGCUUGAGAGAACUCGGGUGAAGGAACUAGGCAAAAUGGUGCCGUAACUUCGGGAGAAGGCACGCUGAUAUGUAGGUGAAGUCCCUCGCGGAUGGAGCUGAAAUCAGUCGAAGAUACCAGCUGGCUGCAACUGUUUAUUAAAAACACAGCACUGUGCAAACACGAAAGUGGACGUAUACGGUGUGACGCCUGCCCGGUGCCGGAAGGUUAAUUGAUGGGGUCAGCGCAAGCGAAGCUCUUGAUCGAAGCCCCGGUAAACGGCGGCCGUAACUAUAACGGUCCUAAGGUAGCGAAAUUCCUUGUCGGGUAAGUUCCGACCUGCACGAAUGGCGUAAUGAUGGCCAGGCUGUCUCCACCCGAGACUCAGUGAAAUUGAACUCGCUGUGAAGAUGCAGUGUACCCGCGGCAAGACGGAAAGACCCCGUGAACCUUUACUAUAGCUUGACACUGAACAUUGAGCCUUGAUGUGUAGGAUAGGUGGGAGGCUUUGAAGUGUGGACGCCAGUCUGCAUGGAGCCGACCUUGAAAUACCACCCUUUAAUGUUUGAUGUUCUAACGUUGACCCGUAAUCCGGGUUGCGGACAGUGUCUGGUGGGUAGUUUGACUGGGGCGGUCUCCUCCUAAAGAGUAACGGAGGAGCACGAAGGUUGGCUAAUCCUGGUCGGACAUCAGGAGGUUAGUGCAAUGGCAUAAGCCAGCUUGACUGCGAGCGUGACGGCGCGAGCAGGUGCGAAAGCAGGUCAUAGUGAUCCGGUGGUUCUGAAUGGAAGGGCCAUCGCUCAACGGAUAAAAGGUACUCCGGGGAUAACAGGCUGAUACCGCCCAAGAGUUCAUAUCGACGGCGGUGUUUGGCACCUCGAUGUCGGCUCAUCACAUCCUGGGGCUGAAGUAGGUCCCAAGGGUAUGGCUGUUCGCCAUUUAAAGUGGUACGCGAGCUGGGUUUAGAACGUCGUGAGACAGUUCGGUCCCUAUCUGCCGUGGGCGCUGGAGAACUGAGGGGGGCUGCUCCUAGUACGAGAGGACCGGAGUGGACGCAUCACUGGUGUUCGGGUUGUCAUGCCAAUGGCACUGCCCGGUAGCUAAAUGCGGAAGAGAUAAGUGCUGAAAGCAUCUAAGCACGAAACUUGCCCCGAGAUGAGUUCUCCCUGACUCCUUGA